UAGGCCUAACACAUGCAAGUCGAACGAGGUGGCAAUACCUAGUGGCGGACGGGUGAGGAAUACGUAGGGAUCUGCCCUUAAGUGGGGGAUAACCCGGGGAAACCCGGAUUAAUACCGCAUGAUCUCGCAAGAGCAAAGAGGGGGACCGCAAGGCCUCCCGCUUUUGGAGGAACCUACGUCGGAUUAGCUAGUUGGUGAGGUAACGGCUCACCAAGGCGACGAUCCGUAACUGGUCUGAGAGGAUGAUCAGUCACACCGGAACUGAGACACGGUCCGGACCCCUACGGGAGGCAGCAGUGGGGAAUAUUGGACAAUGGGCGAAAGCCUGAUCCAGCAAUACCGCGUGUGUGAAGAAGGCCUUCGGGUUGUAAAGCACUGUAAGUGGGAAGAAAAAGCUUCACCUAAUACGGGAGCCUG
Molecule: ribosomal RNA, 417 nt
Filed under: uncultured bacterium
Lineage: Bacteria
Description: bacterial SSU rRNA
Rfam family: Bacterial small subunit ribosomal RNA
Source: RNAcentral